Molecule: long non-coding RNA, 1999 nt
Organism: Panicum virgatum (switchgrass)
Lineage: Eukaryota; Viridiplantae; Streptophyta; Magnoliopsida; Poales; Poaceae
Exons: 6
Source: RefSeq, a predicted model, not a curated record
CGACUAAUUGGGGUUGCGCCUAUCGGAUAAUAAUAAUCGGAUCGAAUUUCGCUGAUAGAACAACAAGGAUUGUACGAAUUCUUCUGCGUAUGGUCCACAGGCGGACGAUAUUACGGGUAAAAUCGGGAGGUGAAGUGCCUUUUACUCUUCGCGCUUCAACUUCAUCCUUUUUUUUGAAAAAUAUAUAGGCCAUCCUUUCGUUAGUGCUAAUAUAGUGGAGCUGUGAAUUGUGUGUGCGCGUUUAGAAUUUGGCCUGCAUUAUUGCUGUGGAUUGUACCGAAUCCUUCUGAUGUGGCCUCUCGUUUUAUCUUGGAAGGAUAAGGUGGAUUAGACUCUGACAGUAACAAUGCGGUCAGCUAGAAGUAAUUUCAGGCGGAUGACCAUAUAUUUUACCUUCCAAUCAACUUAUCUUUGACAUGGACGGGGUGAUAUAUCACCAACUAGGAGAAGAGGGCAUGUUCCUUCCCUUCAAUUCUUUGCCAACAAUGUCACACGGAAAAUGUAUUUAAAAGGGUGGUAUUUGUUAUGAGGGGCUGUCUGUUAUCAGUUAUCAAAGGGAUCCGUGGUAGACAGCUAUCAGUUAGUGUAAAUUGGUGGUGGUAAUAGAGGCCACAGAAGAAUUUUACUAACACCAAGACAUAGAUGGUUUAUAUCUCGAUCACCUACCUUCUAUUCUUUCCCCAUUGGUGAGGCAGUCCUGAGAUGAGAGGCUAGUUACAUGCAAAAUAACUGGCAGUGUUAUUUGCUAAUCAAGGAUCUACUCUCGUGCUACUUUCUGCACUGUCGUUAACUGAAAAUGCAAAGAACUCAACAUGAGUUCCUUGUUACACAGGUUGGUGAUCAGUUGAUCAGCAUAGCUCAAAUCUACGCUGUAACAACAGCUGGGUUCCGCAUGUUACUUGGACCCAUACAAUCCUCCAAUGAUUGCCUCCAAAGUUGCAUUCACCAGUCAGAGUUCAGGUGACGCUACUCCACUUUGAAGUACUGCUUCGAGGUAUCUUCGGUCACUAAGAAGUCGCUAUAAUGUGUUCUUCAGGCUAGCUACCUUCCGUAGAUCGAUAUUGUCUUUACAGGGAGACUUUUACCUACACUUUUGUACAACAUAUGCUCUACAAAAGCCUUUAAAUAGCAGGUACUGUCACAAGGACAACGGCAGUGACGCCUUUGGGAAUAUUCUCUGUCCUGGUGCUAGGAUGGCUAGGGGAUCAUACGUGUGUUUCCUCCGUUCAAAUGUCUCCCACCUCGCUCCAAAGUGGGCUUUCCACUGCUGCUGUGUGGUGUAGGGUGCCAGAUACUGUUUCAUCCCAAUAUCGGCCUCUUCACAGAACUCAACAAUUUGGUUGUUCAGGUUCAUUGCAUGUGCAACGCUGCCGUGACCUGAGAGAGACGGUGCUGAAGAAAGGAACCCCACUAGGAUCUUGCCGAAGACUUCCUUAGCAAAUCUUUGGAUUGAGCUCCUUGGGAUUAGAAGAUUCAACCAAGGGUGUGGAACUUCCCAGAGGCCUUGUGCUCUCAGCUUCACCUCGGAGGCGUGCACCCUGUCCAAGAACUCCAGUUACUAUAAAGGGAUGAUGAAGUCACAAGUCAACAUCGCGGUGCAAACGGAAAUAAUGAACUCACCUGUUCCAUGUUAUCUGCUUCGUCACUGUUGAAGUUCUUGGUUAGCUCGAGGCAGUAUAGAACCCUUGCAUCUGACUGAAAACGGCUUGCUUGGACUGGGUCCUGUGGCUUGAAGGACGUCCUCCAGUUGUUGAGGAUGCCUGUCCUGUUUAUGAUGACAAAACCUUCAAUGUAGUCAAAGGUGUUCUCUGCCAUGAUCAGCAUCUCCUGGUCCUCGGUGAAGCUUACAAAAUCCGAGCUCGAGAGCAAUCCUUGCUCUGGUGAUGAUCCCAAACUGACCGAGACCGCCGAGAGCAGCGUAGAAGAGAUCAGAGUUCUCCUCGGGCGAGCAGGUAACAACGUCUCCUCUUCCUGCAUUUUGGUAUAGUCACGACAUGGG